GGCGGCGUGCUUAACACAUGCAAGUCGAACGCUGAAGCUUGGUGCUUGCACUGGGUGGAUGAGUGGCGAACGGGUGAGUAAUACGUGAGUAACCUGCCCUUGACUCUGGGAUAAGCCUGGGAAACUGGGUCUAAUACUGGAUACGACGGCGCAUCGCAUGGUGUGUUGUGGAAAGGGUUUUACUGGUUUUGGAUGGGCUCACGGCCUAUCAGCUUGUUGGUGGGGUAAUGGCUCACCAAGGCGACGACGGGUAGCCGGCCUGAGAGGGUGACCGGCCACACUGGGACUGAGACACGGCCCAGACUCCUACGGGAGGCAGCAGUGGGGAAUAUUGCACAAUGGGCGGAAGCCUGAUGCAGCGACGCCGCGUGAGGGAUGACGGCCUUCGGGUUGUAAACCUCUUUCAGCACGGAAGAAGCGAGAGUGACGGUACGUGCAGAAGAAGCGCCGGCUAACUACGUGCCAGCAGCCGCGGUAAUACGUAGGGCGCAAGCGUUGUCCGGAAUUAUUGGGCGUAAAGAGCUCGUAGGCGGUUUGUCGCGUCUGCUGUGAAAGCCCGGGGCUUAACCCCGGGUGUGCAGUGGGUACGGGCAGACUUGAGUGCAGUAGGGGAGACUGGAAUUCCUGGUGUAGCGGUGAAAUGCGCAGAUAUCAGGAGGAACACCGAUGGCGAAGGCAGGUCUCUGGGCUGUUACUGACGCUGAGGAGCGAAAGCAUGGGGAGCGAACAGGAUUAGAUACCCUGGUAGUCCAUGCCGUAAACGUUGGGCACUAGGUGUGGGGAACAUUCCACGUUUUCCGCGCCGUAGCUAACGCAUUAAGUGCCCCGC
Molecule: ribosomal RNA, 829 nt
Filed under: Kocuria sp.
Lineage: Bacteria; Bacillati; Actinomycetota; Actinomycetes; Micrococcales; Micrococcaceae
Description: bacterial SSU rRNA
Rfam family: Bacterial small subunit ribosomal RNA
Source: RNAcentral